UGGACUCUGCCAGAUUGAGAAAAUCACGCAAGCCAUUAAUGUAUUCCAUAGAGCAUUUGUUCACGUUGUACAUCCAUGGUCGAUCCAUCUACAAAGUAUUACCGAACCAAAAAUAUUCUGAUCAUCCAUAGAAUUAUACAUGAAACAUAACAAACAUGAUAUAAAUUUCACUAAACUUAAAUGUUGCUGAAAGUUUAGAUAGAAAUACACAAAAUUAAAUUUCAGACCCAAACAACAUGAUACACUACGACAAACUCAAAUGUUGCUGAAAAUUUAGAUAGAAAUACACAAAUUUAAAUUUUAGACCCAAACAAUGAUACACUACGACAAAUCAUCCACUGAGUAUUAUUCCCUCG
This 356-nucleotide long non-coding RNA is filed under the name Setaria viridis. Its description in RNAcentral is "long non-coding RNA (SVIR_LNC002058)". The record is from RNAcentral. Lineage: Eukaryota; Viridiplantae; Streptophyta; Magnoliopsida; Poales; Poaceae.